AAACCUCUUUCAGCAGGGAAGAAGCGAAAGUGACGGUACCUGCAGAAGAAGCGCCGGCUAACUACGUGCCAGCAGCCGCGGUAAUACGUAGGGCGCAAGCGUUGUCCGGAAUUAUUGGGCGUAAAGAGCUCGUAGGCGGUUUGUCGCGUCUGCUGUGAAAACGCGAGGCUCAACCUCGCGCCUGCAGUGGGUACGGGCAGACUAGAGUGCGGUAGGGGAGACUGGAAUUCCUGGUGUAGCGGUGGAAUGCGCAGAUAUCAGGAGGAACACCGGUGGCGAAGGCGGGUCUCUGGGCCGUAACUGACGCUGAGGAGCGAAAGCAUGGGGAGCGAACAGGAUUAGAUACCUUGGUAGUCA
This 357-nucleotide ribosomal RNA is filed under the name uncultured Cellulomonas sp. Its description in RNAcentral is "bacterial SSU rRNA". It matches the Rfam family "Bacterial small subunit ribosomal RNA", at positions 427 to 796 of the family's 1533-position model. The record is from RNAcentral. Lineage: Bacteria; Bacillati; Actinomycetota; Actinomycetes; Micrococcales; Cellulomonadaceae.